RNAcentral lists this ribosomal RNA (253 nucleotides) under uncultured bacterium. RNAcentral's name for it is "partial 16S ribosomal RNA". It matches the Rfam family "Bacterial small subunit ribosomal RNA", at positions 524 to 776 of the family's 1533-position model. The record is from RNAcentral.
UACGAAGGGUGCAAGCGUUGCUCGGAAUUAUUGGGCGUAAAGGGUAGGUAGGUUGUCUUGUUUGUCUAAGGUGAAAUCCCAUGGCUUAACUGUGGAAGUGCCUUAGAAACGGCAAGACUAGAGUCCUAGAGGGGUUUGUGGAAUUCCCGGUGUAGCGGUGAAAUGCGUAGAGAUCGGGAGGAACACCAGCGGCGAAGGCGGCAAACUGGAUAGGAACUGACACUCAACUACGAAAGCGUGGGGAUCAAACAGG